This is a long non-coding RNA of Musa acuminata AAA Group (dessert banana), 760 nucleotides long. RefSeq lists it as uncharacterized. The record is from RefSeq and is a predicted model, not a curated record. The transcript has 2 exons. Lineage: Eukaryota; Viridiplantae; Streptophyta; Magnoliopsida; Zingiberales; Musaceae.
UCGGAAGGCCCCCGAUUCAUCGUCUUUUCUUGUCCCGCUCGUCGGCGCUUGUGAGCUCGACCGCUUGUUGAUGGUCUCCGAUGUCCAGACUCCGCUGCGCUCUCCAAAGCGACCCUUCCUCUCUUUCCUGCUUGCGAGGUUCGGAAGGCAAACUGAAGGAAUUGAAUUGGGCAACUCUUCCGUCGCGAACUUCGCCAUCACCAACCACCGCUCGGCGUCGGAGGUUGAAGGGGCUGCAGAAUCCCCAUCUCUAGGCUCCAUCGACUCCUACAGCAUCACCUGACGCAAGAGCGAGAUCUGAUAUCCCAUCGAGACAAAUCGUUCUGAUAGCAUCACAGGAAAUAAAGUAGAGAAUGAAGUCUCAAUUGCAGGUCAUUUGCAGGUUUCCCAGCACAAGUAGAUUAUCAUUCCAUCAAGUUGCUCGGGGCAGUUGAGAUUGUCUUUGAGAAACUGAAGCUUAUGCUGGUUGAGCAUUCAGAGGAGCUUAAGAUUGCAUUAAACCAUGCAGGCUUUAUUGAAUCUUUUUUGUAGCCUGAGUCCAAUUAUAAUAGACUUAGAUUGGCCACUUGCAUACUAAAACAGAGGUUGCUUGUAGAAUUGUCUCAAAGUCAUCUUCUUUGAUAAAUCUGUACAUGAAGUAUUCUAGCAUCAGCCUUUGAAGAGAUGAACAGAGGAUAGCUUUACUUUUAUUUGUAUUAUCCCCUUGAGCUCCAAUCAUGUGUUUAUUUGAAGUGACAGCAAAUAAUGUUGUUGACCAUUA